GGUUAAGCGACUAAGCGUACACGGUGGAUGCCCUGGCAGUCAGAGGCGAUGAAGGACGUGCUAAUCUGCGAAAAGCGUCGGUAAGGUGAUAUGAACCGUUAUAGCCGGCGAUGUCCGAAUGGGGAAACCCAGUGCAAUUCGUUGCACUAUCGUUAACUGAAUACAUAGGUUAACGAGGCGAACCGGGGGAACUGAAACAUCUAAGUACCCCGAGGAAAAGAAAUCAACCGAGAUUCCCCCAGUAGCGGCGAGCGAACGGGGAGCAGCCCAGAGUCUGAAUCAGCUUGUGUGUUAGUGGAACGGUCUGGAAAGUCCGACGGUACAGGGUGAUAGUCCCGUACACCAAAAUGCACAGGCUGUGAACUCGAAGAGUAGGGCGGGACACGUGGUAUCCUGUCUGAAUAUGGGGGGACCAUCCUCCAAGGCUAAAUACUCCUGACUGACCGAUAGUGAACCAGUACCGUGAGGGAAAGGCGAAAAGAACCCCGGCGAGGGGAGUGAAAAAGAACCUGAAACCGUGUACGUACAAGCAGUGGGAGCACCUUCGGGUGUGACUGCGUACCUUUUGUAUAAUGGGUCAGCGACUUAUAUUCUGUAGCAAGGUUAACCGUAUAGGGGAGCCGCAGGGAAACCGAGUCUUAACUGGGCGUUAAGUUGCAGGGUAUAGACCCGAAACCCGGUGAUCUAGCCAUGGGCAGGUUGAAGGUUGGGUAACACUAACUGGAGGACCGAACCGACUAAUGUUGAAAAAUUAGCGGAUGACUUGUGGCUGGGGGUGAAAGGCCAAUCAAACCGGGAGAUAGCUGGUUCUCCCCGAAAGCUAUUUAGGUAGCGCCUCGUGAACUCAUCUUCGGGGGUAGAGCACUGUUUCGGCUAGGGGGUCAUCCCGACUUACCAACCCGAUGCAAACUACGAAUACCGAAGAAUGUUAUCACGGGAGACACACGGCGGGUGCUAACGUCCGUCGUGAAGAGGGAAACAACCCAGACCGCCAGCUAAGGUCCCAAAGUCAUGGUUAAGUGGGAAACGAUGUGGGAAGGCACAGACAGCCAGGAUGUUGGCUUAGAAGCAGCCAUCAUUUAAAGAAAGCGUAAUAGCUCACUGGUCGAGUCGGCCUGCGCGGAAGAUGUAACGGGGCUAAACCAUGCACCGAAGCUGCGGCAGCGACACUAUGUGUUGUUGGGUAGGGGAGCGUUCUGUAAGCCUGCGAAGGUGACCUGUGAGGGUUGCUGGAGGUAUCAGAAGUGCGAAUGCUGACAUAAGUAACGAUAAAGCGGGUGAAAAGCCCGCUCGCCGGAAGACCAAGGGUUCCUGUCCAACGUUAAUCGGGGCAGGGUGAGUCGACCCCUAAGGCGAGGCCGAAAGGCGUAGUCGAUGGGAAACAGGUUAAUAUUCCUGUACUUGGUGUUACUGCGAAGGGGGGACGGAGAAGGCUAUGUUAGCCGGGCGACGGUUGUCCCGGUUUAAGCAUGUAGGCUGAUUGUCCAGGCAAAUCCGGAUAAUCAAGGCUGAGGUGUGAUGACGAGGCACUACGGUGCUGAAGUAACAAAUGCCCUGCUUCCAGGAAAAGCCUCUAAGCAUCAGGUAACAUCAAAUCGUACCCCAAACCGACACAGGUGGUCAGGUAGAGAAUACCAAGGCGCUUGAGAGAACUCGGGUGAAGGAACUAGGCAAAAUGGUGCCGUAACUUCGGGAGAAGGCACGCUGGUGUGUAGGUGAAGCCCCUGCGGGUGGAGCUGAGACCAGUCGAAGAUACCAGCUGGCUGCAACUGUUUAUUAAAAACACAGCACUGUGCAAACACGAAAGUGGACGUAUACGGUGUGACGCCUGCCCGGUGCCGGAAGGUUAAUUGAUGGGGUUAUCCGUAAGGAGAAGCUCUUGAUCGAAGCCCCGGUAAACGGCGGCCGUAACUAUAACGGUCCUAAGGUAGCGAAAUUCCUUGUCGGGUAAGUUCCGACCUGCACGAAUGGCGUAAUGAUGGCCAGGCUGUCUCCACCCGAGACUCAGUGAAAUUGAACUCGCUGUGAAGAUGCAGUGUACCCGCGGCAAGACGGAAAGACCCCGUGAACCUUUACUAUAGCUUGACACUGAACAUUGAGCCUUGAUGUGUAGGAUAGGUGGGAGGCUUUGAAGCGUGGACGCCAGUCUGCGUGGAGCCAACCUUGAAAUACCACCCUUUAAUGUUUGAUGUUCUAACGUUGGCCCCUUACCGGGGUUGCGGACAGUGUCUGGUGGGUAGUUUGACUGGGGCGGUCUCCUCCCAAAGCGUAACGGAGGAGCACGAAGGUUAGCUAAUCCUGGUCGGACAUCAGGAGGUUAGUGCAAUGGCAUAAGCUAGCUUGACUGCGAGCGUGACGGCGCGAGCAGGUGCGAAAGCAGGUCAUAGUGAUCCGGUGGUUCUGAAUGGAAGGGCCAUCGCUCAACGGAUAAAAGGUACUCCGGGGAUAACAGGCUGAUACCGCCCAAGAGUUCAUAUCGACGGCGGUGUUUGGCACCUCGAUGUCGGCUCAUCACAUCCUGGGGCUGAAGUAGGUCCCAAGGGUAUGGCUGUUCGCCAUUUAAAGUGGUACGCGAGCUGGGUUUAGAACGUCGUGAGACAGUUCGGUCCCUAUCUGCCGUGGGCGCUGGAGAAUUGAGGGGGGCUGCUCCUAGUACGAGAGGACCGGAGUGGACGCAUCACUGGUGUUCGGGUUGUCAUGCCAAUGGCACUGCCCGGUAGCUAAAUGCGGAAGAGAUAAGUGCUGAAAGCAUCUAAGCACGAAACUUGCCCCGAGAUGAGUUCUCCCUGAGACUUUAAGUCUCCUGAAGGAACGUUGAAGACGACGACGUUGAUAGGCCGGGUGUGUAAGCGCAGCGAUGCGUUGAGCUAACCGGUACUAAUGAACCGUGAGGCUUAACCUU
Molecule: ribosomal RNA, 2902 nt
Filed under: Klebsiella pneumoniae
Lineage: Bacteria; Pseudomonadati; Pseudomonadota; Gammaproteobacteria; Enterobacterales; Enterobacteriaceae
Description: 23S ribosomal RNA
Rfam family: Bacterial large subunit ribosomal RNA
Source: RNAcentral